Molecule: ribosomal RNA, 468 nt
Filed under: uncultured bacterium
Lineage: Bacteria
Description: partial 16S ribosomal RNA
Rfam family: Bacterial small subunit ribosomal RNA
Source: RNAcentral
GAUGAACGCUGGCGGCGUGCUUAACACAUGCAAGUCGAACGGAAAGGCCGAAGCUUGCUUCGGUACUCGAGUGGCGAACGGGUGAGUAACACGUGGGUGAUCUGCCCUGUACUUCGGGAUAAGCUUGGGAAACUGGGUCUAAUACCGGAUAUGACGAUCUCUUGGAUGGGGUUGUGGAAAGCUUUUGCGGUAUGGGAUGAGCUCGCGGCCUAUCAGCUUGUUGGUGGGGUAAUGGCCUACCAAGGCGUCGACGGGUAGCCGGCCUGAGAGGGUGUACGGCCACAUUGGGACUGAGAUACGGCCCAGACUCCGACGGGAGGCAGCAGUGGGGAAUAUUGCACAAUGGGCGCAGGCCUGAUGCAGCGACGCCGCGUGGGGGAUGACGGCCUUCGGGUUGUAAACUCCUUUCGCAAUCGACGAAGCCUUUUGGUGACGGUAGGUUGAGAAGAAGCACCGGCUAACUACGUG